UCAUAAACUCCAUUGUAUGUAACUACCCCUUUUUAAAAUUGAGGUAAAAUUCACAUUACAUAAAAUGAAUAUAAGUUUGUUGUUUUUUAAAGAAUAGUUUAUUGAUUUUUAGAGAGAGAAACAUCAGUGUGAAAGCGUAACAUCGAUUGGCUGCCUAGGUCUGUGUCUAGCUUCAUUUUUUCCCACGUGGCUGUCCAGUUGUUCAAUACCAUUUGUUGAAAGACUUUGUUCUAUUGUGCUGCCUUUGCUCCUUUGUCACAGACCAGUUGACUGUAGUUAUGUGGGUCUAUUUCCAGGCCCCCUACCAGGGAUCGAGCCUGCAACACGGGCAUGUGACCUUGACUGGGAAUCAAACCGGCAAUCUUUGGUUCAUGGGAUGACACCCAACCAACUGAGCCACACCGGCCAGGGCAAAGUGAACAUAGCUUUUAACAGUUCUAGGUUCAUAGCAAAAAGUAGUAGAAAGUACAGAGCGAUUCCAUAUAUCUGGUCCCCACAUGCACAGCCUGCCCCACUGUUGACGUCCUGCACCAUAGCGGUACGCUCAUUACCACUAACGCCCCUACCUUACAGCGUCACCACCCAAAGUCCACAGUUUACACCAGGGCUCACUCUUAGUGUUGCACCUUCUGUGGGUUUGGACAGAUGUAUGACAUGUGUUCACCAUUGUAGUAUCACACAGAGCGGUUUCACUGCCCUAACAAUCCUGUGCUCUCUCUGGUCAUUCCUCCCUCCCUUGAGCCCCUGCAGCCACUGAUGCUUUUACUGUCUCCAUAGUGUUGUCUCGUCCAGUAUGUCACGUAGUUGGAAUCACAAGGUAGGUAGCUUCUCAGAUUGGCUUCAUUCACUUAGUCAUGUACAUUAAGUUUCCUCCAUGUCUUUUCAUGGCUCAGUAGCUCAUUUCUUUUUCGCUCUGAAUAAUAUUCCGUUGUUUGGAUGGACCACAGUGUUACCAUUCACCCACAGAAGGGCAUCUUGGUUUCUCCCAAGCUUUGGCAAGAUGAGUAAAGCUGCUAUACUCAUCCAUGCGCAGGUCUUUGUGUGGACAUUUGGGUAAGUUCCAAGGAACAUGCUUGCUGGGCAUAUGAUCAGAGUGUGUUUAUUUAUUUAUUUUUCCUUUAAUUAACCUUUAGUUUUGUAAGAAACUGCUAAACUGUCUUCUAAAGUGGCUGCACCAUUUUGCAUUUCCACCAGCAGUGACAGAGAGUCCCCAUUGCUCCACAUCCUCACCAGCAUUUGGUGUCGUCAGUGUUUUGGCUUUUGGCCAUUCUCAAUAGGGGUGACAUGGUAUUAUUAUUAUUGCUUUAAUUUGCAUUUCCCUAAUGACUUAUGCUGUUGAACAUCUUUCCAUCUGUAUAUCUUCUUUGAUGAAGUGUCCAUAUUUUUAAAAUUGUGUUGGUUUUCUUAUUGUUGAAUUCUUUGUAUAUUUUGGAUGACUGUCCUUUAUGAGAUGUGACUUUUGCAUAUAUUUUCUCCCGGUUUAUGGCUGUCUUCUCACUCUCGUGAUACUGUCUUUUAUAGAACAUAAGUUUUAAGUUUUGAUCAAAUCCAUUGAUUUCUUUCAUGGAUUGUGCCUUUGGUGUUGUAUCUAGAAAGUCAUUACCAUACCCAUGGUCAUCUAGGUUUUAUCCUAUUAGCCUUCUCGGAGUUUGAUGGUUUUGUGUUUUACACUUAGGUCUAUAUCCCCUUGGAGUUGAUUUUUGUGAAGGGUGCCAGGUCUGUGUCUAGCUUCAUUUUUUUCCACGUGGCUGUCCAGUUGCUCAGCACCAUUUGUUGAACGACUUUGUUCUAUUGUGCUGCCUUUGCUCCUUUGUCACAGACCAGUUGACUGUAUUUAUGCGGGUCUAUUUCCAGGCUCUCUGUUCUGUUCCACUGAUCUGUCUGUCAGUGCCUUCACCAAUGCCUUACUGUCUUGCUUGCUGUAGUUUUAUGUAAGUUUUGUUCUUGUCUUUCAACAUUGAGUUGGCUAUUCUGGGCCUUUGGCCUCUAAUCCCAAAGGAGGCCAGCCUGCCUGGUUUCCUUCUGUGUGGCCCCUGGUGUAGAUACCACCUUUCAGAUGGGCAGAGGGUUUGACAGGCAGGGUUCCACACACAGGAGCCGAGAUGGGGAGGCGUGGCGCUAGCACCCCUGGUCUAAGCUUCUCGGCCGCCUCAUUACACCGACGUUAUUUAACGUGAACCUCCAGGUCCUCCCGUCCCGUUGGUGGGGAGCCAGGCCUCUCACCUCCUAACUUGUUGCUUCAUUCCACAUCCAUCCAUCCAUCCAUCUAUCCAUCCAUCCAUCCAUCCAUCCAUCCAUCUAUCCAUCCAUCCAUCCGUCUCAUCCUCAGAUUCAAGGUGAAGGUUGAAGAGAGUUAUCCAAGUCUGAGCCUUCAAAAGGAGCUGAGAAGCAGCCUGGUUCAGUGCCUUGCCCCCGAGUUCAGCGCCGUCCUUGCUUCACCAGCGGUUGUCAGGUUCCCACCGAGGUGCUGGGCACCUCCUGAUCGCGGCUGACGUCCUUCCAGCUUCCCCGUGACGCUCCCUCUCAAAAGAAAAGGCUUGGAUACCUUGUUCUUGUGAAAAUGUCACCAGCUCUUUGUGAUUUCUUUUCCUUCUCUAGAGCCACCAAAAACCAGUGUAGAAUUUUGUCCAUGGUCAGUGUCAAACUCAUUGUGGGGAGUUUAAAACGUCCAUCUUCAUCCCUAGCUGGUUUGGCUCAGUGGAUAGAGCGUUGGCCUGUGGACUGAAGGGUCCCAGGUUCAAUUCUUGUUAAGGGCACAUGCCUGGGUUGCAGGCUCAAUCCCCACUGGGGGCGUGCAGGAGGCAGCCAAUCAAUGAUUCUCUCUCAUCAUUGAUGUUUCUAUCUCUCCGUCUCUCUUCCUCUCUGGAAUCACUAAAGAAAUAUUUUAAAAAAUAAAAUAAAACGCCCAUCAUCUUCCCUGUCAGACCAGGUGCCGUGUGGUGCCCAUUCCUUAGAGACCAGCAUCUGCCGGAGGGGAGUUCUGUCUAACAUUUUCCCAGGGCCUGGGGUCAGAACCCAGAGUAACUUAGGGAAGUGGGUCCUUUUCUCCUUCCUGCGUCCUUGCAGCCCUGGACGUGGGCUCCCUCGUCGUCGUCGUCACGCCGGUUCUGCUCUCUCAAACAAACCUGCUUCCCGAGAGGCUCAGCGGCAAAGCAACAGUGAGCUCUCCUCUCCGGUGUUGAUUGUAAAGACGUUACAACACUUAUUUAACCACUGACAUAGGGGCUCUGUGUGAAAGCAGUCGUCUUGCUGUCAUUGGUAUUGUAAGGACGUAGCUAGUAAAGACACAGAAACUAGCAGAGCAAGGCCAGAGUCAUUUUUCUGAUGCAUCGCGGGUUUGUUAGUCGCGUCAGCGCAUGGCGGUACCUGGUGCAGCUGUUGAGAAGUCGCCCUGACAGCGAAUGCCAGCAGGCCUGGAGUGCGCGUGGCCUUUCCUGACUGUGCACGAUAACGCUUUCCAUUGUGGGUGAAGGUCAGGAGCCCGAAAACACACAGACCUUGGAAUUACCACCGGACUAUUAUGUUCCAGUUCAGGACAGCGCCCUGUCCUACUUCGAUUCAAGACAAAUGUGACGAUGAUAAAGAAGAAAGGAAAGGGCAAACCUGGCCUGUAUUUUCUGAUAACGUUGCAGAGUGGGAAAUUUCAGGAAGCCACGGCAUGUAUUUUUUUGGCAUAACUGUAUUUCUGAUCGACUUGCAUUGUAAGAGUUAAUGGAUAAACAGGCGCGUACAAACCACA
Long non-coding RNA from Myotis lucifugus (little brown bat), 3739 nucleotides. RefSeq lists it as uncharacterized. The record is from RefSeq and is a predicted model, not a curated record. Lineage: Eukaryota; Metazoa; Chordata; Mammalia; Chiroptera; Vespertilionidae. The transcript is spliced from 2 exons.